UGUUUAUUGGCAUGUAUAUAAAUCUCUGUAAUGCGAUAAUUGACUUAAUUAUUUUGACAUCUGUAAAACAGUAACGGUUUGACAAGAAAAUUUCCAAUAUGAAAGCAGCAGUUGGUUUACUUAUCUGUUUUUGUGUAGCAUAUUUCACAGUAUGUGAAGCUAAUUAUGGCUGUCCAAUUAAAAUUGCUUGUAAAAUCCACUGUCUUACUAAACGCUGUUUUGGAAAAUGUACUGGAGGCUGGCUUAAAACGAAAUGCAAAUGCUAUUGGUGUAGGAAGUCUAAUCAAGACCAGGUCAUAGGGGACUUCCCAUCUAAUGAAGAGACUGAGGAAUUUCCUUCAGACGAAUUCAAUGAGGACAAAUUAUAUUAACUAUAUAGUAUGUUUGUCGAUACCGUCUAACAAUAUAUAGACACAGUAUGAACAGUUGCAGAGUAUAUAUAUUUAUAUGAAUAUUAUAUAUAAAAUUUCAAUAAUUUAUUAUA
Mytilus trossulus (common blue mussel) is the source of this 484-nucleotide long non-coding RNA. RefSeq lists it as uncharacterized. NCBI's taxonomy places the organism in Eukaryota, Metazoa, Mollusca, Bivalvia, Mytilida, Mytilidae. The transcript has 4 exons. The record is from RefSeq and is a predicted model, not a curated record.